Molecule: long non-coding RNA, 955 nt
Organism: Micropterus dolomieu (smallmouth bass)
Lineage: Eukaryota; Metazoa; Chordata; Actinopteri; Centrarchiformes; Centrarchidae
Exons: 3
Source: RefSeq, a predicted model, not a curated record
UACCCCAGGCUUCAAGACUCAACACCAGAUUAGUCCUAUCCUUUUGAGUGCCUUCUGCCAAUUUAUGUCUGCCACUGUUUCUCGUUCUACUAGUUCUGUCAAAUUUGUGUGGAGGAGUGGUCCUAGUUGUGUUUCUCCUGUGCAGCAGGAUUCCUGCAGUGUUAUCAGUGUCCAGACUACUAAUACCAGCUACUACAGUUCCUCGGAUCUGGACUGCUCACCUGCUUCAACCACACCGUUUUGUCUGUUGUGACUGGUUAGCUUAGCAUAAAGGUUGGUUCCUUGUUGCAACAAUAGAGGAAGAGGAAGCUCACACAAACAUCACCUCCCAUCACCAAGGUAACUCUAAUGACCAGCACUAAUGAACCAAGUGGUAUCCAUCACCUUGAUAACGACCCCACAGAGGCCCAAUAGAUGGGACUCCCUGCCAGUGUGUAAGAAGUGAAGAAGCUUCUUCGUUGAGAGGCGAAACUUCUUCAACUAUCUUCAACCAUUCCAGCAGUGUGAGUGUAUCAAGAAGUGUGUUUAAAAAAUAGUGACAUGUGGAGAGCUGGGGUUUCCACUGAGUGAGGCAUGGCGAGAGAAAACCAGUGCACAGUCUGCAGUCUUCUUAAAUACAGGUAGACAAAAGGAUGGGAGGAGAAAGAAUGGAAAACAGGGACGUGGGAGGAAGUGGACAGAUGAGAAUAAAAAGUACAAGGAAAGGAUGGAAGAAGGGGGGUAUUAGAAAAGGUGAAGCUUUGAGGAGAUGAAUGGAAUAGAAUAAUUAAGGAAUGGCUGGACUGCUUACUGAGGAACACAUAAAAUAAUCUGACAUGGAAAAGGGGGAAAUGUGCCAGCGUGUAUACAUAUAUUCUGUCUAGAUCUAUGUUCCACCUAAUCUUAGACAGGUCACUAAUGAGCAGUUACAGGCCCGUAUAAAACCUCCCGUAAGUUUUUAGUGCUUUCUUGGCAC